RNAcentral lists this ribosomal RNA (445 nucleotides) under uncultured bacterium. Its description in RNAcentral is "partial 16S ribosomal RNA". It matches the Rfam family "Bacterial small subunit ribosomal RNA", at positions 354 to 796 of the family's 1533-position model. The record is from RNAcentral.
GUGAGGAAUAUUGGUCAAUGGGCGGAAGCCUGAACCAGCCAAGUCGCGUGAAGGAAGAAGGAUCUAUGGUUUGUAAACUUCUUUUGAAGGGGGAUAAAGUGCGUCACGAGUGGUGCAUUGCAGGUACCCUUGGAAUAAGCAUCGGCUAACUCCGUGCCAGCAGCCGCGGUAAUACGGAGGAUGCGAGCGUUAUCCGGAUUUAUUGGGUUUAAAGGGUGCGUAGGUGGUUUGAUAAGUCAGCGGUGAAAGUUUGCAGCUUAACUGUAAAAAUGCCGUUGAAACUGUCGGACUUGAGUGUAAAUGAGGUAGGCGGAAUGCGUGGUGUAGCGGUGAAAUGCAUAGAUAUCACGCAGAACUCCGAUUGCGAAGGCAGCUUACUAAGCUACAACUGACACUGAAGCACGAAAGCGUGGGGAUCAAACAGGAUUAGAUACCCGGGUAGUCC